Plectosphaerella plurivora is the source of this 93-nucleotide non-coding RNA. NCBI's taxonomy places the organism in Eukaryota, Fungi, Ascomycota, Sordariomycetes, Glomerellales, Plectosphaerellaceae. The record is from the annotation of a GenBank genome assembly.
GGGUGAUUGGUCUAGGGGUAUGAUAUUCGCUUCGCAUUUCUCGUCCGAGAAUAUGACUGUGAAAGGUCAUGGGUUCAAUUCCCAUAUCAUCCA